Molecule: ribosomal RNA, 451 nt
Filed under: uncultured bacterium
Lineage: Bacteria
Description: partial 16S ribosomal RNA
Rfam family: Bacterial small subunit ribosomal RNA
Source: RNAcentral
GAUGAACGCUGGCGGCGUGCCUAACACAUGCAAGUCGAGCGGCAGCGCGGGGUGCUUGCACCCUGUCGGCGAGCGGCGGACGGCUGAGUAACGCGUGGGAACGUGCCCCAAAGUGAGGAAUAACUGCCCGAAAGGGUAGCUAAUACCGCGUAUUAUCUUCGGAUCAAAGGAUUUAUCCGCUUUGGGAGCGGCUCGCGUCGGAUUAGGUAGUUGGUGAGGUAAUGGCUCACCAAGCCGACGAUCCGUAGCUGGUCUGAGAGGAUGACCAGCCAGACUGGAACUGAGACACGGUCCAGACUCCUACGGGAGGCAGCAGUGAGGAAUCUUCCACAAUGGGCGAAAGCCUGAUGGAGCAACGCCGCGUGCAGGACGAAGGCCUUCGGGUUGUAAACUGCUUUUAUAAGUGAGGAAUAUGACGGUAACUUAUGAAUAAGGAUCGGCUAACUACGUG